RNAcentral lists this ribosomal RNA (478 nucleotides) under uncultured bacterium. RNAcentral's name for it is "bacterial SSU rRNA". It matches the Rfam family "Bacterial small subunit ribosomal RNA", at positions 29 to 477 of the family's 1533-position model. The record is from RNAcentral.
AACGAACGCUGGCGGCGUGGAUAAGACAUGCAAGUCGAACGCUAAUUUCAGGGUAGCAAUAUUCUGAAGUUGGAGUGGCGCAAGGGUGCGUAACACGUGGGUAAUUUGCCGUGAAGUUGGGAAUAACUCGCUGAAAGGCGAGCUAAUGCCGAAUGUGAAAAUUGGGUGGCAUCAUCUGAUUUUCAAAGUUGGGGACCGUAAGGCCUGACGCUUCACGAUAAGCCCGCGGCCUAUCAGCUAGUUGGUGAGGUAACGGCUCACCAAGGCUAAGACGGGUAGCUGGUCUGAGAGGACGACCAGUCACACUGGAACUGAGACACGGUCCAGACACCUACGGGUGGCAGCAGUCGAGUAAUUUUUCNCAAUGGGCGAAAGCCUGAAGGAGCGACGCCGCGUGGGGGAUGAAGGGCUUCGGCUCGUAAACUCCUUUCGAUCGAGCGAAUGGCCUCCGGGUGAACAAUCCGGAGGAGUGACGGUA